GGACGAAACUCUGGAGAGACUCUUAAAUGAGCACCGAAGGAGCAAGUUGAAAUAUUUCAAUGAAACUCUCAGGUAAAAGGACAGAGAAUAGAAC
RNAcentral lists this non-coding RNA (94 nucleotides) under Clostridium tetanomorphum. RNAcentral's name for it is "Glycine sequence". It matches the Rfam family "Glycine riboswitch aptamer". From Rfam's summary of the family: This family represents the bacterial glycine riboswitch. Glycine riboswitches usually consist of two metabolite-binding aptamers domains with similar structures in tandem. The aptamers cooperatively bind glycine to regulate the expression of downstream genes. The record is from Rfam by way of RNAcentral. Lineage: Bacteria; Bacillati; Bacillota; Clostridia; Eubacteriales; Clostridiaceae.